UCAAGUGAAGAAGCGCAUACGGUGGAUGCCUUGGCAGUCAGAGGCGAUGAAAGACGUGGUAGCCUGCGAAAAGCUUCGGGGAGUCGGCAAACAGACUUUGAUCCGGAGAUCUCUGAAUGGGGGAACCCACCUAGGAUAACCUAGGUAUCUUGUACUGAAUCCAUAGGUGCAAGAGGCGAACCAGGGGAACUGAAACAUCUAAGUACCCUGAGGAAAAGAAAUCAACCGAGAUUCCCUUAGUAGUGGCGAGCGAACGGGGAUUAGCCCUUAAGCUUCAUUGAUUUUAGCGGAACGCUCUGGAAAGUGCGGCCAUAGUGGGUGAUAGCCCCGUACGCGAAAGGAUCUUUGAAGUGAAAUCGAGUAGGACGGAGCACGAGAAACUUUGUCUGAACAUGGGGGGACCAUCCUCCAAGGCUAAAUACUACUGACUGACCGAUAGUGAACCAGUACCGUGAGGGAAAGGCGAAAAGAACCCCGGAGAGGGGAGUGAAAUAGAACCUGAAACCGUAUGCGUACAAGCAGUGGGAGCCUACUUGUUAGGUGACUGCGUACCUUUUGUAUAAUGGGUCAGCGACUUAUAUUCAGUGGCAAGCUUAACCGUAUAGGGUAGGCGUAGCGAAAGCGAGUCUUAAUAGGGCGUUUAGUCGCUGGGUAUAGACCCGAAACCGGGCGAUCUAUCCAUGAGCAGGUUGAAGGUUAGGUAACACUGACUGGAGGACCGAACCCACUCCCGUUGAAAAGGUAGGGGAUGACUUGUGGAUCGGAGUGAAAGGCUAAUCAAGCUCGGAGAUAGCUGGUUCUCCUCGAAAGCUAUUUAGGUAGCGCCUCAUGUAUCACUCUGGGGGGUAGAGCACUGUUUCGGCUAGGGGGUCAUCCCGACUUACCAAACCGAUGCAAACUCCGAAUACCCAGAAGUGCCGAGCAUGGGAGACACACGGCGGGUGCUAACGUCCGUCGUGAAAAGGGAAACAACCCAGACCGCCAGCUAAGGUCCCAAAGUUGUGGUUAAGUGGUAAACGAUGUGGGAAGGCUUAGACAGCUAGGAGGUUGGCUUAGAAGCAGCCAUCCUUUAAAGAAAGCGUAAUAGCUCACUAGUCGAGUCGGCCUGCGCGGAAGAUGUAACGGGGCUCAAACCACACACCGAAGCUGCGGGUGUCACGUAAGUGACGCGGUAGAGGAGCGUUCUGUAAGCCUGUGAAGGUGAGUUGAGAAGCUUGCUGGAGGUAUCAGAAGUGCGAAUGCUGACAUGAGUAACGACAAUGGGUGUGAAAAACACCCACGCCGAAAGACCAAGGGUUCCUGCGCAACGUUAAUCGACGCAGGGUUAGUCGGUUCCUAAGGCGAGGCUGAAAAGCGUAGUCGAUGGGAAACAGGUUAAUAUUCCUGUACUUCUGGUUACUGCGAUGGAGGGACGGAGAAGGCUAGGCCAGCUUGGCGUUGGUUGUCCAAGUUUAAGGUGGUAGGCUGAAAUCUUAGGUAAAUCCGGGGUUUCAAGGCCGAGAGCUGAUGACGAGUCGUCUUUUAGAUGACGAAGUGGUUGAUGCCAUGCUUCCAAGAAAAGCUUCUAAGCUUCAGGUAACCAGGAACCGUACCCCAAACCGACACAGGUGGUCGGGUAGAGAAUACCAAGGCGCUUGAGAGAACUCGGGUGAAGGAACUAGGCAAAAUGGCACCGUAACUUCGGGAGAAGGUGCGCCGGCUAGGGUGAAGGAUUUACUCCGUAAGCUCUGGCUGGUCGAAGAUACCAGGCCGCUGCGACUGUUUAUUAAAAACACAGCACUCUGCAAACACGAAAGUGGACGUAUAGGGUGUGACGCCUGCCCGGUGCCGGAAGGUUAAUUGAUGGGGUUAGCGCAAGCGAAGCUCUUGAUCGAAGCCCCGGUAAACGGCGGCCGUAACUAUAACGGUCCUAAGGUAGCGAAAUUCCUUGUCGGGUAAGUUCCGACCUGCACGAAUGGCGUAACGAUGGCGGCGCUGUCUCCACCC
RNAcentral lists this ribosomal RNA (1986 nucleotides) under Pseudomonas aeruginosa. Its description in RNAcentral is "bacterial LSU rRNA". It matches the Rfam family "Bacterial large subunit ribosomal RNA", at positions 3 to 2027 of the family's 2925-position model. The record is from RNAcentral. Lineage: Bacteria; Pseudomonadati; Pseudomonadota; Gammaproteobacteria; Pseudomonadales; Pseudomonadaceae.